Molecule: ribosomal RNA, 446 nt
Filed under: uncultured organism
Description: partial 16S ribosomal RNA
Rfam family: Bacterial small subunit ribosomal RNA
Source: RNAcentral
CACUCCUGCGGGAGGCAGCAGUGGGGAAUAUUGGACAAUGGGCGCAAGCCUGAUCCAGCCAUGCCGCGUGAGUGAUGAAGGCCCUAGGGUUGUAAAGCUCUUUCACCGGUGAAGAUAAUGACGGUAACCGGAGAAGAAGCCCCGGCUAACUUCGUGCCAGCAGCCGCGGUAAUACGAAGGGGGCUAGCGUUGUUCGGAUUUACUGGGCGUAAAGCGCACGUAGGCGGACUAUUAAGUCAGGGGUGAAAUCCCGGGGCUCAACCCCGGAACUGCCUUUGAUACUGGUAGUCUUGAGUUCGAGAGAGGUGAGUGGAAUUCCGAGUGUAGAGGUGAAAUUCGUAGAUAUUCGGAGGAACACCAGUGGCGAAGGCGGCUCACUGGCUCGAUACUGACGCUGAGGUGCGAAAGCGUGGGGAGCAAACAGGAUUAGAAACCCUAGUAGUCCC